Long non-coding RNA from Homo sapiens (human), 6695 nucleotides. RefSeq annotates it as SMIM41 antisense RNA 1. Lineage: Eukaryota; Metazoa; Chordata; Mammalia; Primates; Hominidae. The record is from RefSeq and is a predicted model, not a curated record. The transcript is spliced from 3 exons.
CCAGCCUGGGCAACAAGAGCAAAACUCCGUCUCAAAAAACAAAAAACAAAAAGAAUCACGUAAGUCGAAGUCACACUGAUGACAGCCAAUUUUUGUGAACCAAGGAAGUGUCAAUUCAAUAAUUCACAUAGAUGUUUACUUUUGCUGUCUCCUAUGUGCCAAGCAAGAUGUAGGCUCUGGGGAGUCAGAAACAAAAGAGACUCACUUGUUCCUCUCACAAUACUCAGUACUUACUGAGAUAAGGACAAAAUAAAAUGUCCUGUCUGGAAUGCAGGGAAACCAGAACUUCAGGUCAGGGGAUAUUUCCAUUGAAUUGUAUGGAGUUUAAGCUUAAAAUAUUAACAAAUGUAUCUAAAAUUCACUUUACCUUUACUUUAUGCAUCCAUCAUAGAGAUCAUGCAGCGGGAGCCCACGAUCGGUUUAAUCAUCACUCACUUCCAUUGGAUCAACUACAAAUCAACUCAGAUGAGAGUGCUGAGUCUCAGAGGAUGGACAUCUCACCCCUUGCCAUACAGAUAAGUAGAAAGGAUGGUAUUCAAAAUUAAUGGCCAGACUCUAAGUCCCAGAUACUAUACUUCAUGGUCUUCCAACUCUCAAAAAGUUGUGGGAGUUUUUUUUUGUUUUUGUUUUUGUUUUUUUGAGACGGAGUCUCAUUCUGUUGCCCAGGCUGGAAGUGCAGUGGAGUGAUCUCAGCUCAUUGCAACCUCCGCAUCCCAGGUUCAAGCUAUUCUCCUGCCUCAGCCUGCUGAGCAGCUGAGAUUACAGGCGCCCGCCACUAUGCCCGACUAAUUUUUUUCUAUUUUUAGUAGAGACGGGGUUUCACCAUGUUGGCCAGGCUGGUCUCGAACACCUGAACUUGUGAUUCGCCUGCCUCAGCCUCCCAAAGUGCUGGGAUUACAGGCGUGAGCCACCGCGCCCAGCUUCAAAAAGUUUAAAGCAGAGCUCAGAGGUCUUAACCACAGGUACAUCUGAGGAGCAUUUUUGAAACAGUUUCCAGCUUCCUCAACAGGAAGAGAAGCCAAAUUCCGAAUUUAUGACUCCUUUGAGGAAGUCGAGAGCUGUAAGGAAAGCCAGGAACAGGGGCAAGGGAGAGAUGCAUCCCGAAUGAUCCUGUGCCAAUUCUUUCUGGAAUCUUUGAUGUGAUCUCAGCUGCCCUUUCUAUACUUGACACAGUGAUUGUGGCACCCACUGGUCUAGCUGUGGUCUACAAGGAACCCCCAAAAGGAAGGGCACAGUGAGCAGGGGCAUCGGCCUGAGUGACAAGGAUUUGAGAGGGCAGGUUGGAUGCAGGGAGAGGACUGGCCAAAUGCCAUGUGUCUGGACUUAGGCUGCCUGGUUCAAACUGGACUUCACCCUUUUUGACUUCAUGAUCUGGUACAAGUUAUAUGAAAAUGCAUUGCUCCUUUUCUAGUCUGUAAAAUAAUAAUGAAAUGUGCACUAAUAACUGGGAGACUACGCAGAGGAAAUGAAACAAGCUGCAUAGACCACAGAGCUCAGAGCCUGGCCUUUAGGAAGCCCUCAGUAAGGGUUCAUGAUGCCAUGGUGUCUGUCAUCAUCCUCUUUAUCCUCAUCAUCACCUUCAUAAUCUUUUUAUUGUUCUUAGAGAAUAGUUUAGAGGGACUCAUUCCCUGCUAUCAUGGGUGAGAUGUCUAUGAAAAGGACAACCAGUGGGGGAGGAAAGCAAAAUUUUGAAUAAGAUUUCUGAGACCGCCCCCCCCCGACCAUAACCAAGAACAGAAACUCCACAGUCUGCUGAGCCGACAGUUUGCACGUUGGUCUCCUCCCAUCUGCCCACCGCACUCUCCUGUUUUUUUCCUGAGGAUGAGGAUACAAAACAAGGCUCCCAACCGUCCCUCAGCACUCACUGAACUGCCCUUCCCCUCUGCUGGGCCAUGACCACGGAGAACAAGUCCACUGUCCUCCCUGCGUGGUGCACGAUGGAGGCUCAGACUCCAUCCUCAAGGCUGGCAAGAAGACAGGGUGAGACAUGAGCCUCCUGAUACAGGUGAUGGGUGUGGAGCCCACAGGACUGGAACCUCACACUGCAGGGCUGGAGGCACAGACUAUUUACUAUUCUAUGGCCUGGGGGGCUCAAGGCACAGAGCUCCUCAUUAGCCAAAGUCGCCCAAGUUCCCCAACCUUUAAGGAUUUCCUCAUAAUAAUGCAAGAAGAAGAAGAGAAAAGUGAGUGUCCAUAGAAGCUUUGGGGCUCUUCCUCUAAUCAGGAGAAAGCUGCAGAAGUUCAUCAGCUAACUUCUUGGGACCUAGCACCAUGUGAAGACGCUCAAGCUAGACUUUAAAAUGAGAGACCCAGAGGAGAGACAGAAGCUCCACUAAAUCCAAAGAACACCUAGACUGAUCAACAACAGAGGAAGCAAGGACAGCAAAGGGCGCUGCAGAGGCCAAGAGUUCAUUUUAGACAACAGGGUUGCCGGGCUGCCACAGAGAUCAGCAAACAAAAUAGUCCACCUGCAAGGAACAGGCCUUCCUUGUGACAACCGUGCUACAGGAAAACCAGCCAAGUUGCCGGAACCACAGAGUACAACAAAGUUUGGGUAAAAUAGUUGUGGCAAAAAUGAAAUUCUGGGGCUACAUUUCCAUCCUGUAUGAAACUAUUGAACAUCCUUGGUCAACACUCUCUGUAGAGAUUUGUUUUAUGUAAGUUGUAGUUCCAAAAUGUGUGGGGUUUUUUGUUUGUUGUUGUUGUUGUUGAGACAGGGUCUCGCUCUGUCGCUAGGCUGGAGUGCAGUGGUGAGAUCUCAGCUCACUACACCCACUGCCUCCCGGGUUCAAGCGAUUCUCCUGCCUCAACCUCUCGAGUAGCUGGGACUACAGCUGUGCACCACCGCACCACACCAAUCUAAUUUUUUCUUUAUUUUUUUUGUAUUGUAGUAGAGACGGGGUUUCACCGUGUUAGCCAGGAUGGUCUCGAUAUCCUGACCUCGUGAUCUGCCCGCCUCGACCUACCAAAGUGCUGGGAUUACAGGCAUGAGCCGCCAUGCCCAGCCCAAAAUGUGUUUUUUCUAAAUCACUCUUUAAAAGAGUUUUUUAAAAAACUACUUUACUAAAAAAAAGUAAAUUUAAAUUUAGUAACAUGGCAUUACAAUCCUUGGGAAUAAAAUUAAUUUUAUGCUGUUGUCCUGACAAAGCAAAGGAAAUGCAUCUGAAGUGGCAUGGUUUGGUUUGGUUUUGUUUUUUUCUAAAAUUGUUCUACUCUUCCAAAGGGAAGGUUUUAGAAUGUUUCCCAAAGCAUGAAUGUUGGAAUGGUGGUCCCAUGAGAUGCUCCUCUAAAAAAAGAAGGAGGUGAAAGAAUUAUUUGGCCAAAUCUGCUUUGAAAUCCUCUCCCUUUUAGAUUCAUCCUAAUAUUGGCAUAGGAAUGCCUCUUUAAAGAACUACAAUAAAGAAGCCUGUUUAUCUUUGCUUAACACAGAAUCCUCAAGUUAUUAACCACCCUUUUUUCAAGUAACACCCAUAAAAGUCCCUUGGCGCUAGAGGACCUUGGAACCCACUGAAAGAAACACCGCCUUGGUCUCUGGGGGAGGAGAAGUGGGACAUAACUCCCUGCUUUCUGACAAAUGGUUUUGAAAUAUUCAUCAUUUCUCUCAAAUGACAAAGGAUGAAAUAUUGUUUCUACUUUUAAUUCAUUUCCCCUACAAUUCUUGUAACGUUUGGUUUGUAACAAAGACAUUUUAAACAAAAAGAUACAUUCAAAAUUGGGAACCAGCAGGCAGCAAAGGGUUCCAUUCACCAGCCACCUGUGCCUUUGAAGUGGUUGAGUCUGUUCCCAAUGUUUUCAUAGCCUUUGGAACGCCCUCCCAGGUACAAGAGCAUGCCGUUCAAAUUUUCAACCAAUUACGUGGCCGUGUCACUCUCCACUCCGCCUGCACGCUGGGAGAAAACGCAAAUCCAUGAAGGUGGUAUUUAAAGAAUUGACAGCCUUGAAAACAUUUUGGAAUUAUUUGAUUUCCUCACAAAACUUCAUUAUUGCUAAAUCCAAAAGAUGAGCCUGACAAUAUCUGUAAGUCUACCAACUGCCCUCCUUAAACUUUGUUGUUAACACUUCCCUAAAUCUUCUGUUCACGCCAGCAGCAUAUCAUAUGACCAACUCCAAUGUGCCUCCGUUAGAUUCUGGGACAUUUCUGGGAGUUCAUACAUUUUUGUUUGAGAAAGUUAAGGAGCUAUCAUACAUCUACAGUUCCGCCCUCCUCCCCACUCUAUGAUCAAAGGAAAAAUUUAAGGGGCAGUUCCACUUGUUCAAUAACGUUCAAUAACAUAUUUCUCCAUGGUCCUCCAUGUGCAGUGCAAAACAGCAGAAAUCCCCAUCCUAACAGAGCUGGCAUUUGAGCAGAUGGCUCGGGCAGGGAAGUUCCCAGCGAAUAUAGUGGCUCUUAUCAUGCAAACCGGUCCAAGAAGCAGACACAUCCACCUUGAGCCAGAUUUAUUUGCAAGGAAUGGGUUCAAAGUCAUGAAAAGAGGAGAGUUCACAUAGACUCAAUUUCAACAAAAAGUAGCUCUCAUAGGGGUGAAUGGGUUUAGGUUGCUCAAGAAGAGAGAGAUUCCAAAGAUGGAGCUUGAGUUGAAGCCCCCAGGAGCUCCCCCUGCAGAAAGAGCAGAGGCUCAGGCUGAGGACAGCUCCCUGAAUGGCCACCUGAAACCUGAAACCCGUGAUGGGAACGCAGAGGGGACCAUGGAGCAAAAACGCCAGGGAACUCUAUAUGGUGGAAAGGAGAUAGCCAGAUGUGGUGGCACACCCCUGUAGUCCCAGCUACUGGGGAGGCUGAGAUAGGAGGAUCACUUGAGCCCAGGAGUUUGAGACUAGAAUGAGCCAUGAUUGUGCCACUGCACUCCAGCCUGGUGAAAGAGUGAUACCCUGUUUUCAUAAGAAAAAAAUAACAAAAACAAAAACAAGAAAGGAGAGAGUUGGCUAAGCUUUAUCACCUUUGUGGGUUUGGAACCCUUACUUGAUCCUUCACUAAAGUACUUCUUGGGCAUCCAGUGAGGUUCAGUGUGUAUUGAGAGGAUGGUGAGGAUGGCAGCCAGGCGUGGGAUCUGUAUUCAAGAAGAAGCUGCCCCACUCGCUGGCCAUCUAUGGAUUUCCAGCCAACAAGCAUUUCCAACCACCUAUGGAUUUCCAACAACUGAGAACUCAUGAGACUGGCUGCCCAGUCUUUCCUCUCUGCCAGAGCAUGAAGAGGCCUCCAUCAUUUCAGGUUGAUGCUCUGGUUCGAGCAGAGCACACUCUUCAGUGGCUUCCUGAGAAAAUGUGCAAGACAAGUCCAUUUUCUGGCUCUCCAUAGAAGACCCACUUCACCUGCAGCCUCUCUGUGUUCUCAUCGGUACUCCCUGCUCACUCACCGCAGCCGCAGCUCCCUGGGCCUCCCCAUGGUUCCCCGACCACAGCAGGUGCGCUCCUUCCUCUGGGUCUCAGCACUUGUUCCGUGGCCUGGAGUGCUUCCCCCCCGCCCCCUCCCCACUCUCUCUAUUGCCCAUUCUCAUUCAGGUCUUUGCUCUAAUAACACUUUCUUGGCCGGGCACAGUGGCUCACACCUGUAAUCCCAACACUUUGGGAGGCUGAGGCAGAUGGGUCACUUGAGUUCAGGAGUUCGAGACCAGCCUGACUCAGCCUGCCCAACAUGGUGAAACUCCGUCUCUACCAAAAAUAUAAAAAAUUAGCCAGGUGUGGUGGUUGCGUGCCUGUAAUCCCAGCUACUCAGGAGGCUGAGGCAGGAGAAUCGCUUGAACCCGGGAGGUGGAGGUUGUAGUGAGCCAAGAUCACACCAUCACACUUCAGCCUUGGCAACAGAGCAAUUCUCUGUCUCAAAAAUAAACAAACAAACAAACAAACAAACAACACCUUCUUGGCAACACUUCCUGAUGAUUCCAUUUAAAAUUCCAGCCUUUCCCCUGCUCUCUCCAUGCACCCUCCCUGCUUUGCUUUGCUCCAUAGGUUGAACUGUGUCCCCCCCAAAAAAGACGUGCUAAAGUUCUAACCCUGAGUACUUCAGGAUGUGACCUUAUUUGGAAGUAGGAUCAUUGCAGAUGUAAUUAGUUAAAUUAAGACGAGGUCAUACUGAACUGGGGUGGGCCCCCAAAUCCAAAAGGACUGGUGUCUUCAUAAGAAAUUUGGAGACAGAGACGCGGGAAGAACACCAUGUGAUGGGACAGAGCUGGGCUGUGCAGCUGCAAGCCAAGGGACACCAGAUAUUGCCGGCCACCACCACCGGUCACCACCGGAAGCGAGGCGGAGGCAAGGACGGAUUCUCCUGCAGGUUUUUGUUUUGUUUUGUUUUGUUUUGUUUUGUUUUGUUUUUUUGAAGGCGGGGGUCUUGCUCUGUUGCCCGGGUUGGAGUGCAUGGCACAAUCAUGGCUCACUGCAGCCUCAACCUUCCAGGCUCAAGUAAGUCUCUUGUCUCAGCCUCCAGAGUAGCUGGCAUGCACCACCAUGCCCGGCUAAUUUUUUAAUGUUUUUGUAGAGAUGGGGAAGGGGGUCUCACUGUGUUGCCCAGGCUGGUCUUCAAUUCCUGCACUCAAGUGAUCCUCCUACCUCAACCUUCCAAAGUGCUGGGAUUAUGGGUGUGAGCCGCCCCACCCGACCCCCCUACAGGUUUCAGAGGGAGCAUGGCCCUGCCAGCACCUGGGUUUCCUACUUCUGGCCUCCAGAACUAUCAGAGAAUAAAUGUCUGCUGUUUCAAGCCA